This 235-nucleotide long non-coding RNA is filed under the name Parus major (Great Tit). RNAcentral describes it as "lncRNA (ENSPMJG00000012128.1)". Lineage: Eukaryota; Metazoa; Chordata; Aves; Passeriformes; Paridae. The record is from RNAcentral.
GGGCUUUGCAGCAAAAGGGUGGAACCAAGCUUGGGAAGAGACAGAGAUGUUGAGAAGCUGUGCCAAGUCCAUGGUGAAUCUUUCCCUCUUGUAUUGUUCAGGGAUUCAAAUCAUCACUGAAGGUAAAAGCCCUCACAGACAUGAGGACACCAAAGUCCUUCAGAGCAUGGCCAUAGGAAAUGCUCGUCACCAUUUCAACAGCUCUAAAACUGGAUGUUGCAGGUGUCUCACAUAG